CAAUAGCGUAUAUUAAAGUUGUUGCGGUUAAAAAGCUCGUAGUUGGAUUUCUGCUGAGAACGACCGGUCCGCCCUUUGGGUGUGUAUCUGGCUCUUUCUUGGCAUCUUCUUGGUGAACGUUGCUGCACUUGACUGUGUGGAGCGCUACCCAGGACUUUUACUUUGAGGAAAUUAGAGUGUUUCAAGCAGGCAUACGCCUUGAAUACAUUAGCAUGGAAUAAUAAGAUAGGACCUCGGUUCUAUUUUGUUGGUUUCUAGAGCUGAGGUAAUGAUUAAUAGGGAUAGUUGGGGGCAUUCGUAUUUAACUGUCAGAGGUGAAAUUUUUGGAUUUGUUAAAGACGGACUACUGCGAAAGCAUUUGCCAAGGAUGUUUUCAUUGA
RNAcentral lists this ribosomal RNA (380 nucleotides) under uncultured eukaryote. Its description in RNAcentral is "partial 18S ribosomal RNA". It matches the Rfam family "Eukaryotic small subunit ribosomal RNA", at positions 592 to 976 of the family's 1831-position model. The record is from RNAcentral.